GCCUGCGGCCGUGGGCUGGCGCGGAGACGCGCCGGCGGCGGGCAAGUUGGCUGUGGUAGGGAACCGCGGCUGCAGCCGGGCGCUGUGAGGGCGGUCCCGGGAGGGAAGCGGCGGCCGCAGAAGGCCCUGGCUGAGAGAGGCUCGGGGCCACCCAGACGCCCUGAGGGUCGCGGCGGCGGCGGCGCGCUGUGGGACGCGCAGACUCCGGGUAGGCGACGCCCACACCUGGCGUCCGCGGGAGGCGCCGAACUUGGCGGCCCCGAGGAAGCCGAGGCCGAAAGAGGUCAUUGGUUUAUUCUUCCCAGCACACCUGGGGAGUACAUCCAUGCUGUUAUCCUCUGUUCACAGCUGAGGCAACUGAAACUGAAGGAGGCAAAGUGUUUUGUCCAAGAGCACAACAGGGCAAGAGAAAACUCCACAGUACAUACUUCUGGGGAUUUUCCAUAUUGAUGGAAGAGAGUGUUCAGGAUACCAAAGUGAAUCCCACUGAAGGCAUGUAUUAGCAUUAAUUUCUCCUAACUAUUGAAAUGUAGCUUGUGUGGUUCUUUCUCACCUUAACAUGUUCAGCAAAAAUGCUGAAACUCUGAAAGAUGAUUGAUAUAGAAACAUGCUAGAAUUAACCUUAUUUUAAAAACAAUAACUAUGCAUAAUAGAUGAGUUUCCCAACCAAUGAGACUCCCCACACUGAGACUCUUUUCACAGGAGCUUCUGAAUUCUUUUUUUUUUUUUUUUUUUGGAUUUUAUUUAUUCAUGAAAGACACACACAGAGGGAGAGAGAGAGAGGCAGAGACUUAGGCAGAGGGGGAAGCAGGCUCCCUGCAGGGAGCCUGAUGUGGGACUCUAUCCUGGGACCUGGGAUCCUGCCCUGAGUCAAAGGCAGAUGCUCAACUGCUGAGCCACCCAAGCAUCCCAAGCUUCUGAAUUCUGAGCAAGGUCUGACGGAAUAGUGCAGGUAGCAAAAUAUUAUGUGAAAAGUUACUGACAUUUUAUCUUAGUGUCUGCUGAAGGCCAAUCUAGGAUUCCUCUGUAAACUGGCAUGUCAGCUCCCUAAACCCUGGGAGUCUUUCUGGGGAGGUAGUUGUUGGUGUCCUGUCUAUAGGACCCAAAGUUAUUGAGUUGUAGCAUCUCAAGGAACUUUUCAUAGCCUCCCCAGUAAGCACUACAGUAUACUAUCCACAGAUAUAAAUACUCAGUAAAUAGAAUUUAAUAGAAUUUAAUUGUUAGCAGGUCUUGAGCUUAACUAAAGCAGACAACUGCCCUUGGAAAUACAACCAAACCCUCAGAAGACCAAAGAGAAAAGAGCAUAGUCAAGGUCAGGUGUCUCCAGAACAUUUGUGUAGUUCAUAGUUCAAACCAGCAGUGGUGGGCAUGAGGGCACUAAUUCCCAUUCAGAGUCACAGAAACCAUUCAGUUGGAAAUGAAUUGAAAUAUGUAAUUGGACCUGGCACUUGAAAGUUUUGUGACUCUUUCAAAGCCAAGUGGAACAAGGAAAAACUGUCUGUUUUCUGAUUCCCUUUUCCAAGAAGCUGAAAAUAUAUUGCAAAUGAGCCCUUAGUUGUGGGUCGUCAUCCUUACAAGACCUGUCUUUGGUUCCAAGGUUGGAAAUUCUUCCUAUGCUUCCCAAUCUCACCCACCUCCAACUUGAACUAGGUCUCAGAGUCUCAUUUUGACCAUAUAUUUUUUCGGCCACGUGGGAGAGAUGAGAAGAGGCUAAAUAUAGCUGUGUAAAAAACAACCAGCAAACUAGAUAGCACCUUCAGGCUUAACAUCAACAAUGAGGAUGUAACAUCAGCUUCAAAUCUUGUGUAAACAUGCACAAAUAUUUUCUAAGAAUAUUUUUCAGAAGAGUAUUUUUUAGACAGAAUCUCUAAAUUGUAUUAUGAAUGAUAAAUGAGAAGGUUAACAAAGUAUAUUUCAGGGCCGUUUUACGUAUUUGUGGCCAUGAUCUGUCUUUAUGACUAUUGAUUAGGUCAGUUUAUUAGUCUCGCCAGAAAGGGAGCAUUGCUAUACUGUGGUGUUGGGAAAGGAUCUUUGAGAUGAUGAUGAAGGUUGGAGGAAAGGCUAGAGCUUAUUUUGGUAUUUGUUUCAUUUUAAAAGGCUGUAACUAGGACUUCAUACGUGUCUAAUAAGUAUGCAUGUAACAUUUUUAUGUUUGGUGAAUGCCUUAAAGUCCCCCAUUAGUCUCCACAAUAUCUCUUGAGGGUGGAUCAGUAUUACUGCCAACAGUUUACAUUUGAGGAAGUUUAAGACACAAAGGGAUUAUGAGAUUUAUACAAGGUCACCCAGCGUGCAAGCCUAGCUAAUAAAAGAUGACUGCGAAGCUCUUUCCAAAUAAAAAGUGUUUUAUAAACAUUAGGUAGUAUUAAUGGGCAUGAUCCCAGGAUGAGUAAAAUACUCUCUAGGAAUAAAGUGCUCAUACAUGUUCUAUAGGAUUAAAUCUUUUUAACCUCAGGGCAACUUUUGAUGGAGGAAUUCUUGAACCUGGCUAUGCAUCAGAAAUGUCUUUAUAGCUUUUAGAACAUGUGAGCACCUGGGCCCCUACCCAAGCUAUAGAAUCAUAAUCAGGGAGGCGGGACACAGAUAAUUUGUAUCUUGUAAAAGCUCCACAGGGGAUCCUGAUGCUCAGCCACUGUCCUAGACUAUAAUAAUAACAACCUCAGACAAGCCAAGAGCAACAAGAAGACACCAUGGAGUAAAUUUAGGAGGAAACACUCUAGCAUCUUCAGGCUUCUGUCUACCUAGUUCACAUCUAUUACUAGCAAAGGAACUACCUCCCUGAAAGACUCACCUGUGUAUCUGUGUAUGGAAUUCCAGGAAAUAGGGCUGAGAUGAAAGGUUAUUUAAGAACCACCCAUGUUUGUUAUAAUAUGUUGGGUAAAUUUACUGUGUCUUUUCUUGGGUUAUUGCUGAUUCUACUCUAAUAUUCUUAUUUGGAGUACCUUGUAUAAUAAUCAACAGUAAAAACCUCUAAUAUCUGCCCAUUCACCCAUCCAUCAAACAUUUAUUGAAUAUGUGCCAUGUGUAGAUUACAGAGUGAAAUUACGUUCUUUGUCCACCGGAGUUUAUCCACAACCUGUGAUAAAACAGACACAGGUCAAACAAACAAAAACCCUAUAAUAGUAAGCUAUACAUAUUAAAUGAUAAGCAUAUAUGAGGCAUUAUUCAUAAUGCUAAAAAGUUGAAACAAUCCAGAUGUCAUUAAUUGAAAAAUGAAUAAGUAAAACUUGGUAUAUCCAUACAUCAGAUUAUUAUUCAACAAUAAAAUAGAAUGAAGUACUGAUACAUGCCAAAAAAUGGAUGAACUCUGAAAAAAUAUAUAAGGUGAAAAAAAGCCAGUCCCAAAGAACCACAUAUUGUAUGAUUCCAGUUAUAGGAAAUAUCCUGACUAGGCAGAUCUAUAGAGACAGAAAGUGAUUGCCUAAGGCUGGAGGAGGGUGAGAUGGGAGGGGCUCUUAAUGGGUACAGGGUUUCUUUUGGGGGUGAUUAAAAUGUUCUAAAAAUGAUGGAUACACAACCCUGUGACUAUACUUAAAAAAAAAAAAAACCUCAUUAAAUUGUAUACGUUAAUUGAGUGGAUUGUGUGGUAUGUAAAUUAUAUCUCAAGUGUAUAUAUACAUAAAUCUGGUGCUGUACAAACUUGGAGGAGAGAGUGGAUUGAUUAAUUUGGAUUGGAAGAAAGAGUGGAAAAUUUCCUGGAGGAAAUGGCAGUUGAGUUGAAACAAAAGGUGAUUUUGUAAAGGAGGCAAGGCUCAGAGAUACAGUCAAAGUGCUAGUGCUUUCAUGCAAGGGCAGUUUAUCUGGAUUCGACGGGAUUUAGGAUAGAUGAGUGGUGCAGUACAUGGGACUAGAUGCAGGGUUUUAUGUCAAAUGGUUUGGUCUUCAUUUUCAUAGGCAGUGGAGGGCCAUGAUAGGUUGGUGAGUGGUCGGAUCAGGCCCAUGAUUUGCAAGGAUAAUUGGAGGUGGUGAUAAGGUAGAUGGGAGAUGGGGUUGGGAAGCCAGUGAGCAAGGGAGACCAUUGAAAGAGUCUGGGCUUUUGCAAUGCAUAGGCAA
Molecule: long non-coding RNA, 4050 nt
Organism: Nyctereutes procyonoides (raccoon dog)
Lineage: Eukaryota; Metazoa; Chordata; Mammalia; Carnivora; Canidae
Exons: 3
Source: RefSeq, a predicted model, not a curated record